UAAGAGAUUCCAUCACCAAUAUAAAGAGAAGUGGUGAAAAAUGGGAUCCCCGUGCCUCAAGCCCUUCGAAGCGGUAAAGAAAGUAGAGGGACCCCCAUUAAUCAAAACAACAAAAGAAGUAGUAGUCACACAUGACUUCAUCCACUUCCUCCAUUUUGGCCCAAAAUCCAUUCUUUCCAAACAUGUAAUCAAUGAAAUUUCAAUUUACAUUAUCAUAUGCUUUUCCAUAUCUAAUUUGCACACCAAACCCUCCCAUUUAUUGAAUAACAAAGUGAUCAACAGUUUCAUUUGU
Molecule: long non-coding RNA, 292 nt
Filed under: Carica papaya (papaya)
Lineage: Eukaryota; Viridiplantae; Streptophyta; Magnoliopsida; Brassicales; Caricaceae
Description: long non-coding RNA (CPAP_LNC013282)
Source: RNAcentral